Molecule: ribosomal RNA, 453 nt
Filed under: uncultured bacterium
Lineage: Bacteria
Description: bacterial SSU rRNA
Rfam family: Bacterial small subunit ribosomal RNA
Source: RNAcentral
AGAGUUUGAUCAUGGCUCAGAACGAACGCUGGCGGCAUGCCUAACACAUGCAAGUCGAACGAGACCUUCGGGUCUAGUGGCGCACGGGUGCGUAACGCGUGGGAACCUGCCUUUAGGUUCGGAAUAACUCAGAGAAAUUUGAGCUAAUACCGGAUAAUGUCUUCGGACCAAAGAUUUAUCGCCUUUAGAUGGGCCCGCGUAAGAUUAGCUAGUUGGUGGGGUAAAGGCCUACCAAGGCGACGAUCUUUAGCUGGUCUGAGAGGAUGAUCAGCCACACUGGGACUGAGACACGGCCCAGACUCCUACGGGAGGCAGCAGUGGGGAAUAUUGGACAAUGGGCGAAAGCCUGAUCCAGCAAUGCCGCGUGAGUGAUGAAGGCCUUAGGGUUGUAAAGCUCUUUUACCCGAGAUGAUAAUGACAGUAUCGGGAGAAUAAGCUCCGGCUAACUCCGUG